Molecule: ribosomal RNA, 253 nt
Filed under: uncultured bacterium
Lineage: Bacteria
Description: partial 16S ribosomal RNA
Rfam family: Bacterial small subunit ribosomal RNA
Source: RNAcentral
UACAGAGGAUGCAAGCGUUAUCCGGAAUGAUUGGGCGUAAAGCGUCUGUAGGUGGCUUUUUAAGUCCGCCGUCAAAUCCCAGGGCUCAACUCUGGACAGGCGGUGGAAACUACCAAGCUGGAGUACGGUAGGGGCAGAGGGAAUUUCCGGUGGAGCGGUGAAAUGCGUAGAUAUCUGGAGGAACACCGGUGGCGAAGGCGGCAUUCUGGACCAUAACUGACACUGAGAGACGAAAGCCAGGGGAGCAAACGGG